Molecule: ribosomal RNA, 406 nt
Filed under: uncultured bacterium
Lineage: Bacteria
Description: partial 16S ribosomal RNA
Rfam family: Bacterial small subunit ribosomal RNA
Source: RNAcentral
AUUGAACGCUGGCGGCAGGCCUAACACAUGCAAGUCGAGCGGAGCGGCGGACGGGUGAGUAAUGCCUAGGAAUCUGCCUGGUAGUGGGGGAUAACGUCCGGAAACGGGCGCUAAUACCGCAUACUAUCAGAUGAGCCUAGGUCGGAUUAGCUAGUUGGUGGGGUAAAGGCCUACCAAGGCGACGAUCCGUAACUGGUCUGAGAGGAUGAUCAGUCACAAGGGAACUGGGACACGGUCCAAACCCCUCCGGGGGGCAGCAGGGGGGAAUAUUGGACAAGGGGCGAAAGCCUAAUCCAGCCAUGCCGCGGGGGUGAAGAAGGUCUUCGGAUGGAAAAGCACUUUAAGUUGGAAGACGUUACCAACAGAAUAAGCACCGGCUAACUUCGUGCCAGCCGCCGGGUAAUAC